This 457-nucleotide ribosomal RNA is filed under the name uncultured bacterium. Its description in RNAcentral is "bacterial SSU rRNA". It matches the Rfam family "Bacterial small subunit ribosomal RNA", at positions 338 to 795 of the family's 1533-position model. The record is from RNAcentral.
CCUACGGGGGGCAGCAGUAAGGAAUAUUGCGCAAUGGGCGAAAGCCUGACGCAGCGACGCCGCGUGGGGGAUGAAGGUCUUCGGAUUGUAAACCCCUUUCGGGAGGGAAGAUGGAAUGGGGUAACCCAUUCGGACGGUACCUCCAGAAGCAGCCACGGCUAACUUCGUGCCAGCAGCCGCGGUAAUACGAAGGUGGCAAGCGUUAUUCGGAUUUACUGGGCGUACAGGGAGCGUAGGCGGUUCGGUAAGCCCUCUGUGAAAUCUUCAGGCUUAACCUGGAAAAGUCGGAGGGGACUGCUGGGCUAGAGGACGGGAGAGGAGCGCGGAAUUCCCGGUGUAGCGGUGAAAUGCGUAGAGAUCGGGAGGAAGGCCGGUGGCGAAGGCGGCGCUCUGGAACGUUUCUGACGCUGAGGCUCGAAAGCGUGGGGAGCAAACAGGAUUAGAUACCCCAGUAGUC